CGCGGCCUAUCAGCUUGUUGGUGAGGUAAUGGCUCACCAAGGCUUCGACGGGUAGCCGGCCUGAGAGGGCGACCGGCCACACUGGGACUGAGAUACGGCCCAGACUCCUACGGGAGGCAGCAGUGGGGAAUAUUGCACAAUGGGCGCAAGCCUGAUGCAGCAACGCCGCGUGCGGGAUGACGGCCUUCGGGUUGUAAACCGCUUUCAGUAGGGACGAAGCUAACGUGACGGUACCUACAGAAGAAGGACCGGCUAACUACGUGCCAGCAGCCGCGGUGAUACGUAGGGUCCGAGCGUUGUCCGGAAUUAUUGGGCGUAAAGGGCUUGUAGGCGGUCCGUCGCGUCAGGGGUGAAAACUCAGGGCUUAACCCUGAGCCUGCUUUUGAUACGGGCGGACUAGAGGGAUGCAGGGGAGAACGGAAUUCCUGGUGGAGCGGUGGAAUGCGCAGAUAUCAGGAGGAACACCGGUGGCGAAGGCGGUUCUCUGGGCAUUACCUGACGCUGAGAAGCGAAAGCGUGGGGAGCAAACAGGCUUAGAUACCCUGGUAGUCCACGCCGUAAACGGUGGGCACUAGGUGUGGGGGACAUUCCACGUUCUCCGUGCCGAAGCUAACGCAUUAAGUGCCCCGCCUGGGGAGUACGG
This 643-nucleotide ribosomal RNA is filed under the name uncultured actinomycete. Its description in RNAcentral is "bacterial SSU rRNA". It matches the Rfam family "Bacterial small subunit ribosomal RNA", at positions 232 to 885 of the family's 1533-position model. The record is from RNAcentral. Lineage: Bacteria; Bacillati; Actinomycetota; Actinomycetes; Actinomycetales.